AAGAAGUGCAGUUUUAGCACUGUUCAUGUUCAACGUUUUGACCGUUUGUCUUAUUUAAAAAAAGAUUAUGAUUAGUAUUUUUAUUGUUAUUAGAUGAUAAAACAUGAAUAGUAAUUUAUGUGUGACUAAUUUUUUUUAAUAUUUUUUAUAAAUUUUUCAAAUAAAACAGAUGGUCAAAGCACUAAACACGGAUAUCUAUGGCUGUACUUAUU
Oryza nivara is the source of this 212-nucleotide non-coding RNA. NCBI's taxonomy places the organism in Eukaryota, Viridiplantae, Streptophyta, Magnoliopsida, Poales, Poaceae. The record is from Rfam.